This 845-nucleotide ribosomal RNA is filed under the name Enterococcus sp. C172. Its description in RNAcentral is "bacterial SSU rRNA". It matches the Rfam family "Bacterial small subunit ribosomal RNA", at positions 48 to 878 of the family's 1533-position model. Lineage: Bacteria; Bacillati; Bacillota; Bacilli; Lactobacillales; Enterococcaceae. The record is from RNAcentral.
GCUAUACUGCAGUCGAGCGGACAGAUGGGAGCUUGCUCCCUGAUGUUAGCGGCGGACGGGUGAGUAACACGUGGGUAACCUGCCUGUAAGACUGGGAUAACUCCGGGAAACCGGGGCUAAUACCGGAUGCUUGAUUGAACCGCAUGGUUCAAUUAUAAAAGGUGGCUUUUAGCUACCACUUACAGAUGGACCCGCGGCGCAUUACCUAGUUGGUGAGGUAACGGCUCACCAAGGCAACGAUGCGUAGCCAACCUGAAAGGGUGAUCGGCCACACUGGGACUGAAACACGGCCCAAACUCCUACGGGAGGCAGCAGUAGGGAAUCUUCCGCAAUGGACAAAAGUCUGACGGAGCAACGCCGCGUGAGUGAUGAAGGUUUUCGGAUCGUAAAACUCUGUUGUUAGGGAAAAACAAGUACCGUUCGAAUAGGGCGGUACCUUGACGGUACCUAACCAAAAAGCCACGGCUAACUACGUGCCAGCAGCCGCGGUAAUACGUAGGUGGCAAGCGUUGUCCGGAAUUAUUGGGCGUAAAGCGCGCGCAGGCGGUUUCUUAAGUCUGAUGUGAAAGCCCCCGGCUCAACCGGGGAGGGUCAUUGGAAACUGGGGAACUUGAGUGCAAAAAAGGAGAGUGGAAUUCCACGUGUAGCGGUGAAAUGCGUAAAGAUGUGGAGGAACACCAGUGGCGAAGGCGACUCUCUGGUCUGUAACUGACGCUGAGGCGCGAAAGCGUGGGGAGCGAACAGGAUUAGAUACCCUGGUAGUCCACGCCGUAAACGAUGAGUGCUAAGUGUUAAGGGUUUCCGCCCUUUAGUGCUGCAGCAAACGCAUUAAGCACUCCCUGGGG